UGCACAUAUGGCGCAUGCUUAGUGGUGA
This 28-nucleotide small RNA is filed under the name Bombyx mori (domestic silkworm). RNAcentral's name for it is "ovarian small RNA-8485". The record is from RNAcentral. Lineage: Eukaryota; Metazoa; Arthropoda; Insecta; Lepidoptera; Bombycidae.